Momordica charantia (bitter melon) is the source of this 4084-nucleotide non-coding RNA. Lineage: Eukaryota; Viridiplantae; Streptophyta; Magnoliopsida; Cucurbitales; Cucurbitaceae. The record is from RefSeq and is a predicted model, not a curated record.
AUAAAAUCAGAACCCCAUUGAUUUCUCCUGUGCGAGAAAUUCACAGCUGCGUCCUCCAUUUCUCUGUUUCUCUGUUUCUGCGUUCAUUAAAGUCUUCUCUCUCUCCUCUGUGCCCAUUUGUGAUUGCUUUCUCUCUCUGCAGCGCGCUUUCGAUUUCUCUCACUCGGUGUAUUAACAUCAUUGGGGCGUGGGCAUCUGUACGAUUCAAUUUUUCCCUCCAUUGUUGCUCCAGAUCCGCGCUCCUCCAUUCGUCGGUGAUGCGAACCCUCUCUUGGCUUCUCCCCAUUUACCCUCUACUUCUAAUUUGAUUCUCGAUUUGUAAUCCACCGAGAAUUCCGUUUGUUUGUUCCCAUUUUUCUGCUAUUCUGCGCGAUCUUGAAUCCGUAUGCCACCUUGAAUUCUUUUGUUACUCAGCUUGCGAUUUCUGGGGGUGUUGAUAUGUCUUCCACUCGAUUGGAUACGAAGCAGUACUUCACAACCAGUGGUCUUGUGGUUGGUUAUGCUCUUUGUUCCAGCUUGCUUGCUGUUAUAAACAAGUUUGCCAUUACCAAAUUUAACUACCCUGGCCUUUUGACGGCGCUGCAGUAUCUAACCUCUGCUGUUGGAGUUUGGGUUUUGGGGAAACUUGGGUUUUUGCAUCAUGACCCCUUCAUAUACGCAACUGCUAAGAAGUUUUUACCUGCGGCAUUUGUGUUCUAUCUCGCAAUCUUUACCAACACGAAUCUUCUUCGUCAUGCUAAUGUGGAUACUUUCAUAGUAUUCAGAUCCUGCACCCCCCUUUUAGUUGCGAUAGCAGAUACCAUGUUUAGAAAACAACCGUGUCCAUCUAAGCUCACAUUUGUAUCGCUGCUGAUCAUUUUGGGUGGAGCAGUUGGGUAUGUGGCUACUGAUUCUGCAUUUACUUUGACUGCUUAUUCAUGGGCAUUUGCUUAUUUGGUGACAAUUACGACCGAGAUGGUUUACAUCAAACACAUGGUUACAAAUCUUGGGCUGAACACAUGGGGUUUUGUCCUGUACAAUAAUCUAAUUUCCUUGAUCUUGGCCCCUGUCUUCUGGUUCAUUACUGGAGAGUAUGCUGAUGUUUUCGCUGCUUUAGGCUCAGCUGCAGGAGAUUGGUUUCAGUAUGAUGCAUUUUUUGCUGUAUCCUUAUCGUGUGUAUUUGGUUUUCUCAUAAGCUUCUUUGGUUUUGCGGCAAGAAAGGCAAUUUCUGCUACUGCCUUUACAGUAACUGGUGUAGUUAACAAGUUUCUAACAGUUGCUAUCAAUGUGGUGAUUUGGGAUAAGCAUGCGAAUCCAUUUGGUUUGGUCUGCCUCCUUUUCACAAUUUCAGGGGGUGUUCUCUAUCAGCAGUCAGUUACUGGAGUUGGCGUUGCCUCAUCGACACCGCUCAAGACUACUGGAGACGAGAAGCUUCUUGAGGAAAAUGAAGGCAAGGCUUCUGGUAAACUUUCCUCCGUAUGAGGUUUUUCUUGGAACUUAGAUUUUUUGGCUACUGAUGAAAAAAACUGGGAUAUUUGAAUUCUAUAUGAACUUAGGUAUGGGAUCUUCUAAGUUCUACAUAAGAAUUUCGACGCUGUAGUUCAUUCUGGAAUAUUACUAUUGAUAUGUAUUUUCAUGGGCUGUCAUUCAUACAUGCUUUCAAGGAUCUUAUAUGUAUACCAAUUUUCUACGAAUUCCUAAUUUGCAAUAGAAGGGUUUUAUGCAUUUAGCUCAGGGAUUCAUUUGACAUAAACAUAGUAGCAGCAAAUUGUGAUCAGACUUUCAACAUCUCUAGCUGAUAUUUGAAAACUGAGAAACUCUAUGGUAUGGACUAGAUACUAUCUAAUGUACCUUCCCUCACUGAAAGUAAUCUUUUUUUACUCAUUUUUCACUCAACAGAAGCACCACACUCUCGUGAGUUGUGAGAUUUCACGGAUGUUGCAAGUAGAAUUUCGUUUUUCUUGCCAAAAUAUCACCCUUCAUAGGACCAUGUUGUUAGCAGUAAUGGCUCUUUGAGCUGUUGGAUGCAGAGUUUAUUGGACCUCUUGUUUACUUUCAAUUUCAACAGCUGAUCGUCAAACUUAUCCAUCAUCUUACUGCUUGGUUAAGGAUUAAUUUAUUCAUGUCUCUCUGUCUCUAUCUCUCUCUCUCUCGUGGUGGGAGGGGGGUGGGUCAUCUUUAUUUAACUCUAUGUCGGUUUGGUACUUUAGUUCUCCUACUCCAUAAUCUCCUCAAACAAUCCACUGAUAUUUGAGUCAAACUGAACAGCAAUCUUUAACUUCUGCUGUGUUGAUAUUUAUGAAUGAUCACCAGAAAUCUCCACAAAAACUACAUCCAUUCUUAAAUGGUGAAACCUAUUGCGGUCUCGUACAACUAUUUCUCUUUUGUAAAACCUUUGAGAUGAUCUUAAGAGCAGAGUGGCAAUCAGUGCAAACACAAAGAUUUUUCACAAUUCGAGUGAAGGCUAAGAGCAGUCACCUUUUCUUCUUUAUCCAUCUCAAACAGAACUUCUGAUUUCUCAGGAAUGUAGCCAGCUUCCUUCAACUUACUAAUCAUGUCGUCUAGCAUCGUAUAGAUUUCCCUUGACUGAGGAUGAGAAGAAUCACCCUUCCCAAAUUGAUGGACCACUCCACUAACCUCAAUCAAGCUGCAACCAGGGGGCUUAUUCAACUUUCUUUCUGCCAUGAGUGGUCUGAUCCUUUUAGAUCCUUCCCACUUGAUAGAACUUAUGUUCCAGCAUCUUGGGAUCAAGUUUCAGAAGCUGUUGGGCUGAUUUCUCAGUUCUGCAGGCACCAAGAAGCCCUCCCAGAGUAAAGUGAUCUGCUUCCAUUGGCAUAUUCUGAAUCAACUCCUCUGCUUCAGCUAUGCGACCAACUCUGCCUAAUAAAUCAACCAUACAGCCAUAGUGUUCAAUUCCAGGUUGAAUUCCAUACACAUUAGACAUUACUUUGAAAUACUUCACUCUUCUGCAUCUCGUUGAAAUACUUCAAGGCCUUCUCUCCUAGUCCAGACAUCGCAAAGCCAAGAAUCAAAGCCGUCCAAGUCAUAACAUCUUUCUCUGGAAGUUCUUGGAAAACCUUAGUCGCACUCUCUAUGCUCCCACAUUUAGCAUACAUGUCAACAAGCGCCGUACCUAAUGCAAGAUCCAUCUCGAUUUUCUCUUUUCUCCCAAAUAGCUGCAAGCAACCAGCAAACUAACCCUUAUCGCCUUUGAUCCCCUUCAGUUGCAUUUCACAGAAGAGCAGGAAAGCCUCUUCAUAGUCACUAUCCUCUACAUGUCCAUUAACUAUGAUGCCCCAACAGAACAAGUUCUUCUGAGGCAUUCUGAUUCUGUCAAACAAAUCUCUAGCAAUCAAAUUCGAGCCGUCAUCAACACAUUAUGGUACCCAGAACCAUUGUCAUCAAUGCACUCGUUCACCCGUUUCAGCGUCUUCAAAUCCCUUGCGAUGGCACAAGCAGUCAAAACGCUAAUCAAGGCAACGCCAUUGGCUUUCACAUUCUCAACCUCGUUCAAUGGCCUUCUCUGGUCCAUCCCACUGCUCAGAAGCACCAACCAUGGUUGCCCAAGAAACCAGACUUGUAUCCAGCAUUUUGUCGAACACCUUCUGUGCCUCAACCAAACACCCAGAAUUCGAGUACAGAAUACAUCAAAGUGUUCUGAAUAUAAGAAUCUGAAGUGAACCCGAGGUUUGUGGAGUGGCCUUGAACAAAGAAGACGACCGUCAACGACCGACCAUUUGUUGAUAGAAAAGAAGCGAGAAUAAUGGAAUUGCAAGUGAAGAGACAUGGGUGCGGUUGAAAUGAGCUGCUUCUGCUAGUUUUGGCGGUGGCCGUGGCACAGGCACCGCCAUUACCGCGCAUUUCCCUUGCAUUAUAUAUAACUAAAAGUUCUAUAUGGCAUUAGGAGAUACAGACCCAAACCGAUGUUUUAGACCAUCAACUUUCAACUAUUGGGAUUGGGAAUGGGAAUUAAUUAGUUCUUAAAUUUUGCCUUCUAAACUACUUUGAUCACUGUGGUAUUGUUUCGUUAAUCAAGUAUUUAUUCAUGCAACCCUUCAUUUAUUUGCAACACGACAUCGUAAAAUCGAGUAUAAUUCGCCGGUAA